Molecule: ribosomal RNA, 253 nt
Filed under: uncultured bacterium
Lineage: Bacteria
Description: partial 16S ribosomal RNA
Rfam family: Bacterial small subunit ribosomal RNA
Source: RNAcentral
UACGUAGGUGGCAAGCGUUGUUCGGAAUUAUUGGGCGUAAAGGGCGCGUAGGCGGCUUGUUAAGUCGGCUGUGAAAGCCCGGGGCUCAACCCCGGAGGGUCGGCCGAUACUGGCGAGCUAGAGUACGGAAGAGGUAGCUGGAAUUCCGGGUGUAGCGGUGGAAUGCGUAGAGAUCCGGAAGAACACCGGUGGCGAAGGCGGCCUGCUGGGCAGUGGCUGACGCUGAGGCGCGACAGCGUGGGGAGCAAACAGG